UAAAACCAGCACCUCAAGUGGUCAGGAUGAUUAUUGGGCCUAAAGCAUCCGUAGCCGGUUUUGUAAGUUUUCGGUUAAAUCCAUACGCUCAACGUAUGGGCUGCCGGGAAUACUGCAAAACUAGGGAGUGGGAGAGGUAGACGGUACUCGGGAGGAAGGGGUAAAAUCCUUUGAUCUCUCGAUGACCACCUGUGGCGAAGGCGGUCUACCAGAACACGUCCGACGGUGAGGGAUGAAAGCUGGGGGAGCAAACCGGAUUAGAUACCCGGGUAGUCCCAGCCGUAAACUAUGCAAACUCGGUGAUGCAUUGGCUUGAUGCCAAUGCAGUGCCGCAGGGAAGCCGUUAAGUUUGCCGCCUGGGAAGUACGUACGCAAGUAUG
Molecule: ribosomal RNA, 380 nt
Filed under: uncultured Nitrososphaerota archaeon
Lineage: Archaea; Thermoproteati; Nitrososphaerota
Description: bacterial SSU rRNA
Rfam family: Archaeal small subunit ribosomal RNA
Source: RNAcentral